ACGUGUAGCAGUGAAAUGCGUAGAUAUGUGGAGGAAUACCAAUGGCGAAGGCAGCCCCCUGGGAUAACACUGACGCUCAUGCACGAAAGCGUGGGGAGCAAACAGGAUUAGAUACCCUGGUAGUCCACGCCCUAAACGAUGCUGACUAGUUGUUCGGGAUUUACAUCCUGAGUAACGUAGCUAACGCGUGAAGUCAGCCGCCUGGGGAGUACGGUCGCAAGAUUAAAACUCAAGGGAAUUGACGGGGACCCGCACAAGCGGUGGAUGAUGUGGAUUAAUUCGAUGCAACGCGAAAAACCUUACCUACCCUUGACAUGUCACUAACGAAGUAGAGAUACAUUAGGUGCUCGUAAGAGAAAGUGAACACAGGUGCUGCAUGGCUGUCGUCAGCU
RNAcentral lists this ribosomal RNA (392 nucleotides) under uncultured Pseudomonadota bacterium. RNAcentral's name for it is "bacterial SSU rRNA". It matches the Rfam family "Bacterial small subunit ribosomal RNA", at positions 671 to 1060 of the family's 1533-position model. Lineage: Bacteria; Pseudomonadati; Pseudomonadota. The record is from RNAcentral.